GACGCUUUGGUGGAGUGGUUAACACGUAUCCCUGCUAUACACACUCGUUUGCAGCCAGUUUACUGGUGCUAGGAUAUCCUCUCUGAGGGCGAGAGUUCGAAUCUCUCAGGCGUCG
Molecule: transfer RNA, 115 nt
Rfam family: tRNA
About the family: Transfer RNA (tRNA) molecules are approximately 80 nucleotides in length.
Source: Rfam